Molecule: non-coding RNA, 231 nt
Filed under: Pseudobacillus badius
Lineage: Bacteria; Bacillati; Bacillota; Bacilli; Caryophanales; Bacillaceae
Description: Bacillus badius T-box sequence
Rfam family: T-box leader
About the family: Uncharged tRNA acts as the effector for transcription antitermination of genes in the T-box leader family. T-boxes are found upstream of many aminoacyl-tRNA synthetase genes and some amino acid biosynthetic genes usually in Gram-positive bacteria.
Source: RNAcentral
AAAUGAACGUUGAUGAGGAGAAGUAAAUAAUUGAAGCUUUACAGAGAGAACCGUCACCGGCUGCGAACGGUUUAAGCCACUCAAUUAUUGAAAUGCCCCUCUGAGUCUGUUGCCGAAAGGAAUGCGAGUAGGCAGCAGCGGGAACACCCGUUACCAGUUUAGAGUUGGAUGAACAGGCUUAUGCUUGUUUUUCAAACAGAGUGGAACCGCGUCAAUUAAAACGUCUCUGUC